UAAACAUUCAAUACACAAUAGGCUCUUAUUACUAUUAUUUCAUCCGCUAACCUUGUACUUACCUGAAAUUUUUUCCCAGCUGGCGGUUGGCUUAAAAGCCUCUGAGGCUACCAUAGACCUAGUGCAGGAUGGUUUUCCAGGGGUGGAUCCUUGCAAAGAGCUAGGGAGCCUCCUCCAGGCUCCUGCACCUGGGAGUAGUAUUACCCCUAUUUUGUACCUGAGGAAAUUCACCUAUGAUCUCAGAACUAGUAAGAGCCACGAUUGGAACCCAGGGAGUCUGGCUCCAGAGCCUGAACCUUUAUCCACUAUGUUAUUCUGGCCUGUGUUGUUCUCCCAUGGUUGAGUAAAUCCACAAAUUUCAUUUGGUGCUACAUUGUUAUGUCAUGCCUUACUCCUCUUACUUGUAAUGAAUUGCACUCAGCACGACACUGGAAAGUUUCUGUGACAAAAUGUUUUAUCUUCCAGAUAGCACUUUAGUAAGACACAUCCUAAAUGUUAGCAAAAACGAAUUGUACGCAUAUUUUUAAAGUUUUAUUUAUUUAUUUUUGAGAGAGAAAACACAAGUGGGGGGAGGGGUAGAGAGACAGAGAGACAGAGAGAUAGAGAGGGAAACAGAAUCCAAAGCAGGCUCCAGGCUCUGAGCUGUCAGCACAGAGCCCGAUGCGGGGCUUGAACUCACGAACUGUGAGAUCAUGACCUGAGCUGCAGUCGGACACUUAACCAACUGAGCCACCCAGGUGCCUCAAAUCAUACGUAUUAAUCAAAAUUCGGUGGCAACCAAUGAAGAAUGGACAUGAUAGUGCAUGAGUUUGAGAAUUGCUGGUGUGCUGGCUGAUAAUAAGUCUUUGAUAUACUCAACCAUUCCAUCCUCUUUGAUGGGUUAUAUAUAAAAUUUUGCCCCCCAUUUCCCUGAGAAAAUGUCUUCCUGGAGUUGGUGGCAUGCUUCAUCUCUCUGCUUGGCAAACUUUUCAUCUUGGGGAGAAGCAAGGCCUCCUUCUCUCUUUAAUGACCUCAAAACCCUUCUCUAUCAUUUGCAAUGGUCAGAAGAACGUGGGCCCCUACUUCAAAAGAGUAAGGCCAAGCUUAUAUUCAGAGGUUUUGAUUUCUUUACAACCGUGUUUCUGGGUCCUUGGUACUUUGCCAAAUCACCCUCACCCCUUUGCAGGAAAGUGCCAGUGGUAUUAAUCCAGACUUUCUUAGGUAACCUGCACUUUUUCACUUUUCUAGAUGGAAUUGCAAGUGGUCAACCAGCCCUGGAGAUGGUUUUGGUGCCUGGAUCCUGGAGAUUUGUUUGGCCUCUUUGCCAAGACGCCUCGUGUCACACUGCAGCUCUGUCCAGAUGAUUCUAAUAAUAGCCUAAUGGAAUUCUGUGGUUGGAGGAGACCGGGAGAGGUCACUGAGUCUGUCUUCUGCCUGCAGAAGGGAGUAAGUGCUCUUUUUGUGGGAAACAGAAGGCAAGGAGGAACUAAAAUUGCUAGAUCAAAGUCAGUUCCCCACCCCACCCCCUAAGCCAGCA
Molecule: long non-coding RNA, 1516 nt
Filed under: Felis catus (domestic cat)
Lineage: Eukaryota; Metazoa; Chordata; Mammalia; Carnivora; Felidae
Description: lncRNA (ENSFCAG00000042406.2)
Source: RNAcentral